RNAcentral lists this ribosomal RNA (740 nucleotides) under Escherichia coli. RNAcentral's name for it is "partial 23S ribosomal RNA". It matches the Rfam family "Bacterial large subunit ribosomal RNA", at positions 612 to 1351 of the family's 2925-position model. Lineage: Bacteria; Pseudomonadati; Pseudomonadota; Gammaproteobacteria; Enterobacterales; Enterobacteriaceae. The record is from RNAcentral.
AUAAUGGGUCAGCGACUUAUAUUCUGUAGCAAGGUUAACCGAAUAGGGGAGCCGAAGGGAAACCGAGUCUUAACUGGGCGUUAAGUUGCAGGGUAUAGACCCGAAACCCGGUGAUCUAGCCAUGGGCAGGUUGAAGGUUGGGUAACACUAACUGGAGGACCGAACCGACUAAUGUUGAAAAAUUAGCGGAUGACUUGUGGCUGGGGGUGAAAGGCCAAUCAAACCGGGAGAUAGCUGGUUCUCCCCGAAAGCUAUUUAGGUAGCGCCUCGUGAAUUCAUCUCCGGGGGUAGAGCACUGUUUCGGCAAGGGGGUCAUCCCGACUUACCAACCCGAUGCAAACUGCGAAUACCGGAGAAUGUUAUCACGGGAGACACACGGCGGGUGCUAACGUCCGUCGUGAAGAGGGAAACAACCCAGACCGCCAGCUAAGGUCCCAAAGUCAUGGUUAAGUGGGAAACGAUGUGGGAAGGCCCAGACAGCCAGGAUGUUGGCUUAGAAGCAGCCAUCAUUUAAAGAAAGCGUAAUAGCUCACUGGUCGAGUCGGCCUGCGCGGAAGAUGUAACGGGGCUAAACCAUGCACCGAAGCUGCGGCAGCGACGCUUAUGCGUUGUUGGGUAGGGGAGCGUUCUGUAAGCCUGCGAAGGUGUGCUGUGAGGCAUGCUGGAGGUAUCAGAAGUGCGAAUGCUGACAUAAGUAACGAUAAAGCGGGUGAAAAGCCCGCUCGCCGGAAGACCAAGGG